UACGUAGGGGGCUAGCGUUGUCCGGAUUCAUUGGGCGUAAAGAGCGUGUAGGCGGCCAGGUAGGUCAGCUGUGAAAACUGGAGGCUCAACCUUCAGACGUCGGCUGAAACCAUCUGGCUAGAGUCCGGGAGAGGAGAGUGGAAUUCCUGGUGUAGCGGUGAAAUGCGCAGAUAUCAGGAAGAACACCCGUGGCGAAAGCGGCUCUCUGGAACGGUACUGACGCUGAGGUGCGAAAGCGUGGGGAGCAAACAGG
This 253-nucleotide ribosomal RNA is filed under the name uncultured bacterium. RNAcentral's name for it is "partial 16S ribosomal RNA". It matches the Rfam family "Bacterial small subunit ribosomal RNA", at positions 524 to 776 of the family's 1533-position model. The record is from RNAcentral.